AGCGAGAUGGCGCAGCUGGUAGCGCGCUGGGCUCAUACUCGUGCAUGCAUCGCUGCGCACAAGCCACCCAGAGGUCGUCGGAUCGAAACUGACUCUCGCUA
RNAcentral lists this transfer RNA (101 nucleotides) under Melampsora larici-populina 98AG31. RNAcentral describes it as "tRNA-Met for anticodon CAU". It matches the Rfam family "tRNA". Rfam says of the family: Transfer RNA (tRNA) molecules are approximately 80 nucleotides in length. Lineage: Eukaryota; Fungi; Basidiomycota; Pucciniomycetes; Pucciniales; Melampsoraceae. The record is from Rfam by way of RNAcentral.